CUAUGGCCUUCCAGGCUAUGUCCUAAUGCUGGCCCCUGGCUGGUGAACUAAUGAUGGCACCAAUUACUGAAGAGCAUGUGUGCCUGGUAUACAUGCCGACAUCAGCUCAUUAAGAUCUUACAAAACUGGCACCAAGGACACCUCAAUCUCUCCAGUGCAGGGACAUGUGCUAUGGCACUGGGUAGUGUACGGCGUAUACUGCUGUGCUGCAGAUGAAAGGACCAGAGAGUGUGCUACACUGAUUAACGACUCAGACAUGGAUUAGAGGCUUCGCAGUCGUAGUAUCCCCUGAGGUCUUUGUAAGAGGAGGAGUGUGUGUGUUUGUGACUGUGUUUAGAGGCUGAGGGAAGAAGCGAGGUGUGAGAUCAACUAAAUAAUAGGCUGUGCCUAUUCAGCCUUUGUUCCUGGAAGCAAGCGCCAGCAGGUUACAAGGAUCAGAUGCUAUGACCUAGCAGAUUUUUUGAGCCAAACAGACCUGUUAAAUCAAAUAAUAUAUACUUGUAUGGAAGAUACUAGCAAGUCACAAAUUGAUUUAUUUAUAUCAAAUUAUUUGAAGACUGAUCGUCCUCUUUUCCAUCAGUGUAAAUGAAGAUGUACCAGUGGAAACAAUUGUUAUGUAAACAAAAUGUGGUCAGCUGGCAUCUCUACUGAAGACUACUUAUUAAUCAAAACGUUGGCUAAGGGGGCACCAAAAUCACCAUGCAGAAACCUGGAAGCGUUCAACCUUUAAUCAUCAAACAGCAUCUGUGACUGUACUCAGCUCUCAGCUAGUGGCACCCAAUAAGUUGGUAUUGUGAUCGAGUGCCGACCAGAUGUGUUUGUGUGGCUAAAAUGAAUGUACCUCUAUUAUUUUGCUACUAAAUUGUCUGCUUAGUAAGUCAAUGAGCCAUUUCCUCACGGUGUGAAAAAACCCUCUGUGUUCCAACGAGCUGGGGCAUUGAGCACCAUGAACCCACGGCCAGCUGAAAAAAUCAGUGUCCGCAUGUUGGUUACCAGCUGCAGAUAAGGUUGUCACUUCACAUUAUUAUCUGUGCCGAAAAACUGAACAUGGAAACAAUGGGAUUUUUAAAAUAUAUAAAAGACUGCUGUACAUGGGUGGAGAACAAAUGCACAGUAAUAAACCUAAAUAUGUCCCGGAAGACAAAAUACAUGCAGAUAUUAAGUGAAAAAUGAGCCUAAACAGGCUAAGUACAUGCUGGGUAAUGGCUCAUGCAAGCAGGCAUCGGCCCCACAUUAGCUGAGCAACUACAAGUUGCUGUAUGUCCUGCCAAGCAGAGUAAUACAUGGCAUUAUAGCACUAAACAAUUUCUAAGGAGAUAAAAAAAGGGAAUGCACUAUUUUAAAUUUAAUGUAACAAAACAAAAAAAAAAUAGAAAAAAAAAUGCUUCCAUAUUAUAUAAGCAACAGUAUAAAUGGUUUAAUUAAAUAAUUUAAAGAGAGACAUGUAAUUAUGAGUAUCGUUUUAAUUGGCCCAAAGAAUAAAAAUACUGUGUUAGUUUUAAGUGAACUUGGGGAGAUUAAUCACUUAUCUGUCCAGAGGAAAAAUAGCUGAGUUGCCCAUAGAAACCAAUCAGAUCGCUUAUUUCAUUUCUCAGAGGCCUUUUCAAAAAUGAAAGAAGCUACAGUAAAAUCUCCCUUAGUGGACACCUCCCAAUAGCAGACAGUUUUUAAUUCCCUGGCCCAUAAGACUUAAUGUAUUUGCACCCUCCUAAUAGGGAACAUUCCCAUAGCUGACGCGGACACAACCAAUAGAGGACAAUAGGGGACAAAACACUCCCAAUAGGGGACAAAACACUCCCAUUAGGGGAAAAAAAAACCUCCCAAUAGGGGAAAACCAGCCUUAUGUGCCAGCCCUACCUGGUACACAGGGCCAUCGUCAGGGGGUAAAGCCAAUGCCCCAGUAACAACAAGACAUCCACAUAUACUGACUAUCCUGUGUCUGUCUUCCACUUGAUUGUCUGGGAUAUUUUCCUGAAGAUUUUAAUUCCUGUUAUUUUGGACUUCCUUUUGGCGUUAUUUAAUUUUGUUUCCAUAACUGUAUCGAUUUGCACUUUUCUGUGUUACACCUGAAUAGUGCUUUAAAACUGGCUUACAUAUUGUGACAAAAUGUAAUAAAAAUCUUUAAAAACCAUAAAAUAAAUUACAUCUAUUAGCGGAUUA
Molecule: long non-coding RNA, 2160 nt
Organism: Hyla sarda
Lineage: Eukaryota; Metazoa; Chordata; Amphibia; Anura; Hylidae
Exons: 3
Source: RefSeq, a predicted model, not a curated record